UGAGGAAUAUUGCACAAUGGGCGAAAGCCUGAUGCAGCAACGCCGCGUGAGGGACGAAGGCCUUCGGGUCGUAAACCUCUUUUCUGAGGGAAGAGAUCAGGACGGUACCUCAGGAAUAAGUCUCGGCUAACUACGUGCCAGCAGCCGCGGUAAAACGUAGGAGGCGAGCGUUAUCCGGAUUUACUGGGCGUAAAGCGCACGCAGGCGGUUCCGUUAGUCGGACGUGAAAGCUCCUGGCUUAACUGGGAGAGGCCAUUCGAUACUGCGGGACUUGAGGUUGGGAGAGGAGUGUGGAAUUCCCGGUGUAGUGGUGGAAUGCGUAGAGAUCGGGAGGAACACCUGUGGCGAAAGCGGCACUCUGGCCCACACCUGACGCUGAGGUGCGAAAGCGUGGGUAGCAAACAGG
This 406-nucleotide ribosomal RNA is filed under the name uncultured Chloroflexota bacterium. RNAcentral describes it as "bacterial SSU rRNA". It matches the Rfam family "Bacterial small subunit ribosomal RNA", at positions 355 to 776 of the family's 1533-position model. The record is from RNAcentral. Lineage: Bacteria; Bacillati; Chloroflexota.